Molecule: long non-coding RNA, 1485 nt
Organism: Onychostoma macrolepis
Lineage: Eukaryota; Metazoa; Chordata; Actinopteri; Cypriniformes; Cyprinidae
Exons: 4
Source: RefSeq, a predicted model, not a curated record
AUUAGCCUUUACACACACAGUGUUUGAGUAAAGAAAACGUUGUACUUUUUCAAACAUCAGUUGUUUAUUGCAUUGUGAACAAGCUGAGAUCUGUCUCCAGGCUGCGCGCGGCGUGUCAAUCUGAUUGGGGCAGGAUGAAGUUUCCGGCGAGGUUUCGCUGACGGUUUGAGGACCGUGGUGUUUAGUUGACAAGCUCACUGUGAUAUUUUCUUUCACGUGACUGGGAAGAAUUAUACACCAUUCAACGUCUCGAUCUGCCUGAUCCCGCCCCCUUCGCGGACACUGCUGCACCGACCGACUGACUGACUUUGGGACUUUUUCUGCUGCCUAAGUUCAUAAAGAGUAACUGAACAAGUUGAUCGCAACACCUAAGACUAAUGAUAUGGAAACCAACAUCAGAGGUGGGAUAUUUGAGGGCCUGUUGAGGCAUCUGAGAAGGGUCUGGAGACUGCUGCGCUGCCGUGGACCUGAUGAGACUGAAAUAAAAUUUUCAGUGGAAGAAACAUCACCACUAUUCAGAGGCCAAAGCUCUGUCCGUCCGUGGUGAGACUGGCUUUCUGCACUGAGAUGAUAAUUAUUGACGAAUGGAUGAGCAGCCAAACAACAGAAUUCUUGGACCAACAUUUAAAGCAUUUAAAAGACUGGCAAGAUUGAUCUACUUCCCUCAAGCUGUCUCCAAAGAGGCACUGUUACUGAAUUAUGCUGACCGCACAUGAUGCGGUCACUACUGCUUAGUGCCUGUGUAUUCUCAGCAGACCAAACCCUGUCCUCUUUGGAGUCGUUGGAUGUAUGGAUUCAGACCUCAGGAAAUGUGACCACCUCAUUUGCCAACCACCAAAGACAGUGUACUUUUCUUGCAUCAGGUCAAAUAGGUCAAAUAGUUGUAUGAGCUCAAGUGCACAAAACAGACCUAAUUUUGUUUAGGUCCAUUUAAAGCCCUAUUCGGACAGGAUUAGUUUUACACGGAGAGGUAAGGUAAAGUAAUUAUUACCAGAGCUUCUCAGUGAUUUUAGUCCCAUCCGAAUGGGUAAUCUCAGUAAUCAUUAUGGUCAGUGUCAGUAAAGAUUAUGGUGACUUUUACCUUUUAAAAAGGUCCAGAAAAAUGACCUCAGGUAAUGCUAAUCCUGUGCAGAAAGACCAGUUGUAAACAAGCACGUAAAUAUUCCAUAAUUUCCUGGCAUGAAACUUCUGUUAGCUUUAGGUAAGGGCCUAAUAACAGAAUCCAGUCAGAACUGAAUUAAUUUAAUUUAUAUAUUGUUUGACCAGACCUAACUAACAUAAGCAACACAUUAUAAAUAUAUAAUAAGAAACUUAGUAUGCACAGGAAGCCAUUUGGCAUGUAGCCUCGACAGGGAGGUGCUUAAAUCGAGUCACCCCUCCCAAUUCUGGUAGUUUUACUAAGCUUUCUUAUCCCGUGCGAAUUGGCCAUUAAUAUUACAGACGUCUUGUGGUAAAAUUACAUUACUCCAUCUACUCCUGAAAAAG